CCUACGGGAUGCAGCAGUGGGGAAUAUUGCACAAUGGGCGCAAGCCCGAUGCAGCCAUGCCGCGUGUAUGAAGAAGGCCUUCGGGUUGUAAAGUACUUUCAGCGGGGAGGAAGGCGUUGUGGUUAAUAACCUCAGCGAUUGACGUUACCCGCAGAAGAAGCACCGGCUAACUCCGUGCCAGCAGCCGCGGUAAUACGGAGGGUGCAAGCGUUAAUCGGAAUUACUGGGCGUAAAGCGCACGCAGGCGGUCUGUCAAGUCGGAUGUGAAAUCCCCGGGCUCAACCUGGGAACUGCAUUCGAAACUGGCAGGCUAGAGUCUUGUAGAGGGGGGUAGAAUUCCAGGUGUAGCGGUGAAAUGCGUAGAGAUCUGGAGGAAUACCGGUGGCGGAGGCGGCCCCCUGGACAAAGACUGACGCUCAGGUGCGAAAGCGUGGGGAGCAAACAGGAUUAGAUACCCUCGUAGU
This 464-nucleotide ribosomal RNA is filed under the name uncultured bacterium. RNAcentral describes it as "bacterial SSU rRNA". It matches the Rfam family "Bacterial small subunit ribosomal RNA", at positions 338 to 794 of the family's 1533-position model. The record is from RNAcentral.